This 2965-nucleotide long non-coding RNA is filed under the name Homo sapiens (human). RNAcentral's name for it is "HSALNT0187226". The record is from RNAcentral. Lineage: Eukaryota; Metazoa; Chordata; Mammalia; Primates; Hominidae.
ACUUUCUACACGUUUGUUUACUUAAGCCUCACGUUUGUAGAAGGAAUUGAGAGACAGAGAGUUUAAGACUUUGGCCUAGAUCACCCAGUUAGUAAGUGUAGGAAUUGAGAUGUGAACUGGCGGAGUUUGUCUCCAGAAUCUGUGCUUUGCUGGAUUGGAAGAGUUAAACUGUGGUGUAGAUAAGUGCUUUUAAAACAUUCAUAUGCAUGGGAAUUUUCUGGGGAUGUUUCAAAAUAAUUCCUGGUUCAUUUGGCCCAAGACAGAUCUGAGAGUCAGCAUUUCUACCAAAUGCUGCUCGUCUGCUUUGAGUGGCAAGGGAUAGACGACUUGGAUUAUAAAUGUGGGGUCUGCGUCCUAAGGAUAAGCCUCUGGGUAGCUCAGUGCAAUUAAUCUCUUUGCCAUCCCUUUGCCUGAUGUGUGAAAUGAGCAAGUUGGGUGAUUCUUAAGGUCUGUUCAAGCUUGUAAAACCCUGCACUCCCUGGCUUCCCACAUGUGGGCAGCUCCUUUUAGCUGUCAUUGGCGUUUCCCUGGCGGUGACUGUCCAGGAGGCUACAGAGAAGGAAGCUGGUGUGCGUGGCCUCCUCCUCCCCGCGUGCUGAAUUCAGAUCACAGCUCCUGAGCUUCUGGACUGACAGGAUGUACUCUGCUGUCAGCUGUUUCCUUCCAACUCUGAGAUCUCUCAGCAUCUGGCUCUGCUCCCUUCUGCCCCAUGGAUCCUCACUCCCUGUCACAGCUGAUUAGGGUGCUGGCUCUAACAAUGGAGACUGAUGCUCAAGUCAUAAACUGGAAACAAAUCAAUAUCCAUCAACUGGUGAAUGGAUACAGAAGAUUUGGCAUAUCUACACCACAAGGGAACUACUCAGCAAUAGAAAGGAAUGAACUACUGAUAUAUGCAACAACACAGAUAAAACUCAAAAACAGUGUGCUAAGUGAAAAAAAACAGCCACAAAAGACACAUAAUAGAUGACUCCGUUUAUAUGAAAUCUAAUCAUAUGAAAAGAAAAGGCAAAAGUAGAGAAACAGAAAGCAGACAUUUUUCUUUGUAACCAGAACACCAAUUUUUGGAUUAUACAUACAUCUAUUUGGUGCCUCAGGAGGUUUUUACCCUAUGGGACAGUGGACCUUUGUGAUAUCCUGGGAGAAGGAAAGAUUUGCCUUCCUUUUAUAAGUGGUAGAAAUAGCUAUUGGGAAGGAGAAACAGUGUGGUGCUUGAAAUGCUGACCUCAGACAAGUCAUUUUAAGGAAACAAUACACGUGAUGUUAUGUCAGAUUCAGAGCAACCCCAGGAAACGUAUCUUACAGAUAGGAGCUGGGCUCUCAGGAUCCAUAUUAAACCAAAAUCAGAUGUUCAUGAUACUGAAGAUCUGUUCAUAUGCUGGGAAGACUGAGAUGUUGAUUUGAAUUUGAUAACAUAACGGUUCGUAUCACAUGUUUGUGCAAGAAUGUCCAUGCAGAAGUCUGACUGCUUUUUGUGGGGGUCAACCAAGUCAGAGACUGGAACGGCUACAGAGGAAAGGUAUCUUCUUGGUUUUCCUAUGAAGUUUCUUUUAAAAACAUAAUAAUGAAGAGUUUAUUUAUAAAUGUCCUCAGAGCAGAGAUAAUAUAAGUCAUGCGUAGAGACCAAAUCCCCCAGAAAUAUUAGAGAAGUCUUCAGAAUCCAUUCUUGUUGUCAUGCACAAAUCCUUUCUGGACAUCUGUUGUGACAGGACACCAUGUUUUUCUCAGCAGCGUUUUGUAAUUUUCAGUAUGCAGGUCUGGUAUGUAUUUUGAUAAAAUUGUCUGUAAAUAUUUUAUAUUUUGCUUAUUAUAAAUAUAUUGUUUUAAUUUCAUUUUGCAGUUGCUCAUGGCUAAUAUAUGGAAAUACUAUUGGUCCAUACUAUUGAUUCAAUAGUAUUUCUAAAUACUACGUAAAGAGAGACUUGAAGUAGAAUCCAGGGAGGAGGGACAUGUUCAUGUAAGGGUAAAAGACACAGCAAGAUAGAUCUUAUGCCAAGUGCUAAAAAAGCAGGAGGAAAGAGGAGAACUCAUAGGAGAAUCAGAGAGAAUUACAGGGAUCAAUAAGAGGUACAGUACAAGGUCUGCAAAGCAAAGAACGGAAUUUUCAGGAAGGAGAAGAUGACCAACAGCAUAAAUUAUUACAGCAAAGUUAAUGAAAUCAAAGACUAAAAAUAAGUAAGGUAAUUGCACUUAGCUAUUUGGAGGUUGUCAGUGACUGGAACAUGCAGUUUCAGUUGAGUGUGGAUGACGAAUUGGACAAUGUGAACACAGCUUAAAGUAGGACAUACUCAAGAUUAUAGUCAUCAUGCAUAACAAAGUAUUAGACAAUUGAAUCUGGCCAUAUAUAUAUAUAUAAAGAUAAUACACCACUAAAUUAUACACACAUACACAUGCACCAUAAAUAGUUGUUUUAUCUAUUAAUGAAAUUAACCAUAUAAAUAUAAUAAGGUAAAAAAUAAAGAAAACACACCUAUGAUCAUCUCAGUAGAUGUAGAAAAACAUUUAGCAAAAUGCUAUAUCCAUUUAUGAUUUUAAAAAACUCUCAGCAAACUAGAAAUUAAAGGGAACUUCCUUAAUCUAAUAAAAGGCAACUAGAAAAAAUCUACAACUAAUAUCUUACUUAGUGGGGAAAGCCUGAACAAAAUUAGACAAAUGAUAUAAAUCAUUGCUCUCACCAUUUAUAUUCAACAUUGUACUAGAGGUCCUAGAAAGUAUAAUAAGGCAAGAAAAAAAUGCAUACAAGUUGGAAAGGAAGAAGUAAAACUAGAGUUACUCACAGACAACAUGACCAUGAACCUAGAUAUUCUAAAAGACUCUCUCUCUUUCAAAAAAAAAAAGCCUACUACAACUGGUAAAUAGGUUUAGGAAGGUAAUAGGAUAGAAAGUUAGUAUGCUAAGACCAAUGAUAUUUCCAUGUACUAGGAAUGAGCAACUGCAAAUGAAAUUAAAAUAAUAUUUUUUGAUAGGC